This 759-nucleotide ribosomal RNA is filed under the name Escherichia coli. RNAcentral describes it as "partial 23S ribosomal RNA". It matches the Rfam family "Bacterial large subunit ribosomal RNA", at positions 609 to 1367 of the family's 2925-position model. Lineage: Bacteria; Pseudomonadati; Pseudomonadota; Gammaproteobacteria; Enterobacterales; Enterobacteriaceae. The record is from RNAcentral.
UGUAUAAUGGGUCAGCGACUUAUAUUCUGUAGCAAGGUUAACCGAAUAGGGGAGCCGAAGGGAAACCGAGUCUUAACUGGGCGUUAAGUUGCAGGGUAUAGACCCGAAACCCGGUGAUCUAGCCAUGGGCAGGUUGAAGGUUGGGUAACACUAACUGGAGGACCGAACCGACUAAUGUUGAAAAAUUAGCGGAUGACUUGUGGCUGGGGGUGAAAGGCCAAUCAAACCGGGAGAUAGCUGGUUCUCCCCGAAAGCUAUUUAGGUAGCGCCUCGUGAAUUCAUCUCCGGGGGUAGAGCACUGUUUCGGCAAGGGGGUCAUCCCGACUUACCAACCCGAUGCAAACUGCGAAUACCGGAGAAUGUUAUCACGGGAGACACACGGCGGGUGCUAACGUCCGUCGUGAAGAGGGAAACAACCCAGACCGCCAGCUAAGGUCCCAAAGUCAUGGUUAAGUGGGAAACGAUGUGGGAAGGCCCAGACAGCCAGGAUGUUGGCUUAGAAGCAGCCAUCAUUUAAAGAAAGCGUAAUAGCUCACUGGUCGAGUCGGCCUGCGCGGAAGAUGUAACGGGGCUAAACCAUGCACCGAAGCUGCGGCAGCGACGCUGAUGCGUUGUUGGGUAGGGGAGCGUUCUGUAAGCCUGCGAAGGUGUGCUGUGAGGCAUGCUGGAGGUAUCAGAAGUGCGAAUGCUGACAUAAGUAACGAUAAAGCGGGUGAAAAGCCCGCUCGCCGGAAGACCAAGGGUUCCUGUCCAACGUUA